AAGGAAUAUUGCUCAAUGGGAGAAAUCCUGAAGCAGCAACGCCGCGUGGAGGAUGAAGGGUCUAUGACUUGUAAACUCCUGUAAAGAAGGAAAAAAUUCCCAUUAGAUGGGAGAUGAUGGUACUUCUGGAGUAAGCCCCGGCUAACUACGUGCCAGCAGCCGCGGUAAUACGCAGGGGGCAAGCGUUGUCCGGAUUUACUGGGGGUAAAGGGUGCUCAGGCGGAUUUGUAAGUCAGCGGUGAAAUCUUACAGCUUAACUGUGAAACUGCCUUUGAUACUGCAAGCCUAGAGUAUGGAAGAGAGUGAUGGAAUAUCUGGUGUAGCAGUGAAAUGCGUAGAUAUCAGAUAGAACACCAAUGGCGAAGGCAGUCACUUGGUCCAUUACUGACGCUAAAGCACGAAAGCGUGGGUAGCAAACA
Molecule: ribosomal RNA, 419 nt
Filed under: uncultured bacterium
Lineage: Bacteria
Description: bacterial SSU rRNA
Rfam family: Bacterial small subunit ribosomal RNA
Source: RNAcentral